CGCGUGUACUGGUCCGGCCGGGCCUUUCCCUCUGUGGAACCCCAUGCCCUUCACUGGGUGUGGCGGGGAAACAGGACUUUUACUGUGAAAAAAUUAGAGUGCUCCAGGCAGGCCUAUGCUCGAAUACAUUAGCAUGGAAUAAUAGAAUAGGACGUGUGGUUCUAUUUUGUUGGUUUCUAGGACCGCCGUAAUGAUUAAUAGGGACAGUCGGGGGCAUCAGUAUUCAAUUGUCAGAGGUGAAAUUCUUGGAUUUAUUGAAGACUAACUACUGUGAAAGCAUUUGCCAAGGAUGUUUUCAUUAAUCAGGAACGAAAGUUAGGGGAUCGAAGACGAUCAGAUACCGUCGUAGUCUUAACCAUAAACUAUGCCGACUAGGGAUCGGACGGUGUUAUAUUUUGACCCGUUCGGCACCUUACGAGAAAUCAAAGUGCUUGGGCUCCAGGGGGAGUAUGGUCGCAAGGCUGAAACUUAAAGAAAUUGACGGAAGGGCACCACCAGGGGUGGAGCCUGCGGCUUAAUUUGACUCAACACGGGGAAACUCACCAGGUCCAGACACAAUGAGGAUUGACAGAUUGAGAGCUCUUUCUUGAUUUUGUGGGUGGUGGUGCAUGGCCGUUCUUAGUUGGUGGAGUGAUUUGUCUGCUUAAUUGCGAUAACGAACGAGACCUUAACCUGCUAAAUAGCCCGUAUUGCUUUGGCAGUACGCUGGCUUCUUAGAGGGACUAUCGG
RNAcentral lists this ribosomal RNA (729 nucleotides) under uncultured eukaryote. Its description in RNAcentral is "SSU rRNA". It matches the Rfam family "Eukaryotic small subunit ribosomal RNA", at positions 670 to 1426 of the family's 1831-position model. The record is from RNAcentral.